This 491-nucleotide ribosomal RNA is filed under the name Flavobacterium sp. WB4.4-62. RNAcentral describes it as "bacterial SSU rRNA". It matches the Rfam family "Bacterial small subunit ribosomal RNA", at positions 1 to 503 of the family's 1533-position model. Lineage: Bacteria; Pseudomonadati; Bacteroidota; Flavobacteriia; Flavobacteriales; Flavobacteriaceae. The record is from RNAcentral.
UUAGUUGAUCCUGGCUCAGGAUGAACGCUAGCGGCAGGCUUAACACAUGCAAGUCGAGGGGUAGAGUAGCAAUACUUGAGACCGGCGCACGGGUGCGUAACGCGUAUGCAAUCUACCUUUUACAGAGGGAUAGCCCAGAGAAAUUUGGAUUAAUACCUCAUAGUAUUGUGAAGUGGCAUCACUUUAUAAUUAAAGUCACAACGGUAAAAGAUGAGCAUGCGUCCCAUUAGCUAGUUGGUAAGGUAACGGCUUACCAAGGCUACGAUGGGUAGGGGUCCUGAGAGGGAGAUCCCCCACACUGGUACUGAGACACGGACCAGACUCCUACGGGAGGCAGCAGUGAGGAAUAUUGGACAAUGGGCGCAAGCCUGAUCCAGCCAUGCCGCGUGCAGGAUGACGGUCCUAUGGAUUGUAAACUGCUUUUAUACGAGAAGAAACACUACUUCGUGAAGUAGCUUGACGGUAUCGUAAGAAUAAGGAUCGGCAUCCUC